CCUACGUGGUGCAGCAGUGAGGAAUAUUGGUCAAUGGCCGUAAGGCUGAACCAGCCAAGUAGCGUGAGGGAAGACUGCCCUAUGGGUUGUAACCCUCUUUUAUGCGGGGAUAAAGGUGUCCACGUGUGGAUGUUUGCAGGUACCGCAUGAAUAAGGACCGGCUAAUUCCGUGCCAGCAGCCGCGGUGAUACGGAAGGUACGGGCGUUAUCCGGAUUUAUUGGGUUUAAAGGGAGCGUAGGCCGGUCUUUAAGCGUGCCGUGAAAUUUUGGGGCUCAACCAUGAGAGUGCGGCGCGAACUGGAGACCGUGAGUGCGCGGAAGGCAGGCGGAAUUCGUGGUGUAGCGGUGAAAUGCUUAGAUAGCACGAAGAACCCCGAUUGCGAAGGCAGCCUGCCGCAGCGUUACUGACGCUGAAGCUCGAAAGCGCGGGUAUCGAACAGGAUUAGAUACCCGUGUAGUC
RNAcentral lists this ribosomal RNA (460 nucleotides) under uncultured bacterium. Its description in RNAcentral is "partial 16S ribosomal RNA". It matches the Rfam family "Bacterial small subunit ribosomal RNA", at positions 338 to 795 of the family's 1533-position model. The record is from RNAcentral.